UGCCCAGCACACUUUCCUCUGCAGAUAUCUUUUUGGCAAAACCGCUACUCUCUUUCACCCACUCAUUCCUCUGCUAUGGUCUCAUCCUCACUUCCAUCCUCUAGCCAGUUCUCCUUACUUGACGUCAAUAGUGCUAUUAACACCCUAUGCUCAAUUUUAACAUAUUGUCUAGAAAGCAUCUGUCCCCUCUUAUCCAGGCCGGCCCAUGCUAACCUCUCCAGCCCCUGGCUAUCUGAUGUUCUACGUGAACAUCGCUCUAAACUCAGAGCAGCAGAGAGGAAAUGGAGCAAAUCAAAAGAUCCGGUUGACCUGAGAAGAAGACCAGAUGAUGGUUCUGAGGAGCCGAGAACAGGAACCAGUUGGUGGAGAAUGCCUCCAGGAGAUGAAGGAGCUUGUUGGCUGCCACCAUGGAAAGACUCUUCAGAUAGGGAGACACUAAACAAGAACAAGGUGCAAUAGUGAAAUCUGGACAGAAGAGAAGAUCAGCCAGAGCCAGUAAGAGAGACUCCGCCAGCGGACGAGCUCCUUCUUCAUCAUCCUCCAUAUCAUCCAGCUAUACAGAGACAAAAACAUCACUACAAAUCAUUUCUACAAUCCAUAAAAACUGAUUCAUUAAGCUCUUGCAACCCCACGUCCACAUGCGUGGACGUUGUAUUUUGGCUUCGCUAUAUGCAACGCAUAAUUUAAAUGAAUUAAAUCUGACUGAAUACUGUUCGUAAGACUCUACACUGUUAUUUAAGGGUUAAAUUCUGGCGCACUGCAUCACGUGACACAACAGCAUGACCUUUAUUUCCAGGAAGCGCUGCUACUGGCGCAGCGCCAACAAAAGUGCCUCUGGUAAGAAACGUCUUUACAUUUUUUGAUUGAAACCUGUUUGGUUGUAAAGAGUAGCGUCUCUAGUUUCGUUUGAUAUGCAGCUUUAAAAAAUCCAUUCAUUUUUCACGCAUCAGCGCGCUGAUAAACAUGAUGUCCACAUAUGUGGAAAUUAGGACCAUGUGCCCUCAAAAGUUGAAAAACUUGUUCAUUAUUUUGAAUCAUUUCUGUGCGUCAGUUCACUUCAUUUCAAUAUAAAUGUUGUUAUUGUUUUAUUUUGAUAUCACUGUACAAUACGGUUCUAUUCAUUAACAUUAGUAAAUUUGUUCCUAUAUAUUUACUGUACAUUAUCACAUUGAGAAUAAAUGUAUUCAUGCAAAAGCUGAAACAACUGCAGACAGACAGCACACUGGAGGUUAAGUCAUUCACUAAAUAGGGAGCAAGGGAGCAUCCUAUAGCUUUCUAUUCAGCUAAGUGCAUUCACUCCUAAAAUCAGAUCAAUAGUUCAGUUUCAGGCUGCAGAUGAUGUUUGGAUCACUCAACAUGUUUGACAGACAUGGGACAAUGAUAAUCAGUACAUAGAUUCAGAAUUUAUAAUGUAUCAUUUUAUUUUAACAUGGAUGGCAGUGAUUGGAUGAUGCUGGACAUUACAUUGAAUCAGAAUUAUUAAUUCAGUUUUAUAGAAAAUCAGCUGUAAUGUCUGUAACAUCUCACAAAACAUGAAAAACCAACACUCCUGGACACAUAAUAAACUAUUUGAUGAAAAAAAUUUGACUUUCUAUAGCUUGGUAUUACUUAAACUUAUUCCAGCUGUCCACAUACGGUUUGUGGACAUACAUUUUUAGGAAAACUAUUUUGUCUAGAAAUUCCUUUUUAUUUGUUUGUUUAGGUGCUACUAGUUACAAAUCAAAAAGGGAAAUGGAAAAUGCAUACAGCAGUCACGCGGGGGUCUCAGGAGGUUAAAGGACUGUUCCAGGGUCAGCAAAAGUGAAGCUCAAUUGACAGCAUUUGUAGAAUAAUGUUGGUUACCACAGGAUUACACCCCUUGUUUAUUUAACGCUUAAAUGCAUACCUUUAGUGACCCAGGACCUCUCUCCUCCACCUUUACCUCAUCCGUUUUUUGGAGUGAUGCCCGCACCUCUUUAGUAUUCCUUAACCUUUCCCUUAUGAAAAGUGUAACAAUAGAAACAUGCCAAAAUUGCAGAAAUAAAUAAAUAAAUAAAUAAAUAAUGUUAAAAAAAAAUCUAAUCAAAUUAAAAAAAAACAUUUUUUAAUUGCUUCAUUAUCAAAAGUGUAUAUGGUUGUUAGUGACCCGAGAUAUGUAAUAGUAACACAUUAUAUAUUUGCGCUUCCACAAAUAAUAUUUUGAUUAUUAUUUCAUAUCCAUAUAAGUUAACUAUCACAGGGUAUCUAUUUUUUGGUUUAUUACAAGACAAGUGAGUGCUAUUUUCAUACAAAUGACAUGACAAUGGUGAAUUAUCAGUAUCCCAUAUGCCUGUACA
Molecule: long non-coding RNA, 2315 nt
Organism: Myxocyprinus asiaticus (Chinese sucker)
Lineage: Eukaryota; Metazoa; Chordata; Actinopteri; Cypriniformes; Catostomidae
Exons: 3
Source: RefSeq, a predicted model, not a curated record